Molecule: ribosomal RNA, 207 nt
Filed under: uncultured bacterium
Lineage: Bacteria
Description: partial 16S ribosomal RNA
Rfam family: Bacterial small subunit ribosomal RNA
Source: RNAcentral
GGAUCGCAGUCUGCAACUCGACUGCGUGAGGGUGGAGUCGCUAGUAAUCGCGGAUCAGCAUGCCGCGGUGAAUACGUUCCCGGGCCUUGUACACACCGCCCGUCACACCAUGGGAGUUUGUAACGCCCAAAGUCGGUGGCCUAACCUUUAUGGAGGGAGCCGCCUAAGGCGGGACAGAUGACUGGGGUGAAGUCGUAACAAGGUAAC